AGCAGAACUUCUUUUUUAAAGGGGAGUAUCAGUCUGUGGCACAGGAUCACACUAUUCAAUCCUUCUAUUGGCCUGAAAAUGGAGCCCUUUCUGUCUCUUGUGCUGUCUCCUGUGGUGGAAUCGCCCAUCAUCACUCCCCACACUUUCUUUGAAUUAGACAGGAUUUUUAAAAAGAGCAGAAAGACUCGGUGCCCUGGAGAGAAAGACCCAUCCCAGUUCACAAAGAGUUGACCAGACUAGCCAGAGAGACUUCUGGCUGCCUGGACAGAGAAGAGAGCUAUAUCAAUAAAUCCUUUACCUAAUCACCCUGCUGUUAGCAACAAGUGUCAAUAGAUCCAGAGGACUGCUGCUUAUGGCUUCAGAGUAACUUCAAGAUAGCACACGUUAUAGAAAGCAACUUUACUCCCUUGCAAGACCAAGUCCUGUCCUGCUAAAUUGUAUCCCCUUCUCUUCCAUAAGACUCCCCUAAUUGCUACCUAAAUGUUUGGCUAUGGGUCUUUGCAUCUGUUUCCAUCAGCUGCUGGGUGAAGCUUCUCAGAUGACAUCUACCUAGGUUCCUGUCUGCAAGCACAGCAGAGGAUCAUUAAUAGUGUCCGUGGUUGGCUCUCUUCCAUGGGGUGGGUCUCAAGUUGGGCCAGUCAUUAGAUGGCUGUUCCCUCAGUCUCUGCUCCAUCUUUAACCCGUGUGCAUCUUGUAGGUUGAAGGUUUUGUGGGUCUGUUGAUGUUCCCCUCCCUCUACUAGAAGUUCCCCUGGCGAUGGGCACUUCAGUUUUCAAAUCCUCAGCUGCUAGGAUGCUAGGAACCUCCGGUAGAAUCACCCCCAUAGAUGCCUGGCAGCCUGCUCCAUCCCAGGUCUCAGACUCCUCUCAGAGAUGUGCCCCCCCAUUUUUCGUUCUCUCUCCCAGCUCUCCCCUCACAUAUGAUCCCCACUCCACAUAUGAGCUCCUCACUCCACACAUAUGAUCCCCACUCCAGUUUCUCUCCCCAACCCAUCUUCCAUCCAGUUCUCUCCCUCCAUCCAUCUCUAAUGUUUAUUCCAUUUCCCUAUCUGAGUAAGAUUCAAGAAUCCUAACUUGGACCCCCAUUGUUAGCUACUUUGGGUUUGUGGAUUAUAGCAUCAUUUUCCUGUACUUUAUGGCUAAUAUACACCUAUAAUUGAGUACAUACUAAUUGUGUCUUCUUGAAUCUGGGUUACCCCAGUCAAGAUAUUUUCUAGUUAUACCCAUUUACCUGCAAAUUUCAUGGUGUCUUUGUUUUCAAUAGCUGAAUAGUACUCCAUUAUGUAAAUCCACAAUGGAAGAAUAUCCAUUCUUCAGUUGAGGGACAUCUAAGUUGUUUCUAGUUUCUGGCUAUUAUGGAUAAAACUGCUAUGAACGUAUCUGAGCAAGUGUCCUUGUGGGAUAGUGGAGCUUCUUUUGGAUAUAUGCCCAGGAGUGGAAUACCUGGGUCUUCAGGUAGAUCGAUUCCCAAUUUUUGAGAAACCAUCAAACAGUUCCAUUCCUCCUCCUCAUCCCAUUCCUCCUCCCCUUGUCUCCAAGAAGAUAUCCUUUCCUGCCCUAUCCCACCAGGCCUCCCCAACUCCCUGGGGCCUCAAGUCUUUUGAGGGUUAGAUGUCUCUUCUCCCACUGAGCCUAGACCAGGCAGUCCUCUGCUGUAUAUGUAUCUGGAGCAUAGGACCAGCUGGUGUAUGCAGCCUGGUUGGUGGCUCAGUGUCUGAGAGAUCUCGGGGGUCCAGGUUAGUUGAGACUGCUGGUCUUCAUAUGGGGUCACCCUCCUCCUCAGCUUCUUCUAGCCUUUCGCUAAUUCAACCACAGGAAUCCCAGACUUCAGUCUACUGGUUGGGUGUAAGUAUCUCCUUCUGUCUCAGCUGCUUGUUGGGCUUCUAGGAGGACAGACACUCUAGGCUCUGCUUUAAUAAUAUCAGCCUUGGAACCUUCUAUUGAGAUGGAUUGCUAGGCUCCUGUCUGUAAGCACACCAUGGCAUCAGUAAUAGUGUCAGGCCUUAGGGCCUCCCCAUGAGAUGGAUCCCAAGUUGGGCCUAUCACUGGACCACACUUUUCUCAGCCUUUUCUCCAUUUUUGUCCCUGCAGUUCUUUUAGACUGUAACAAUUUUGGGUCAGAGUUUUUGCCUGUGAUGCCCUGUCUUUCUACUAGAGGUAUACUCUACAAGUCUCCUCUCCCCACUGUUGGGCAUUUCAUCUAAUGUCCCUCCCUUUGAGUCCUGAUUGUCUCACCUCUCAGGUCUCUGGUACUUUCUAGAGGGUCCCCUCACCUCCCACCCAAUAAGUGGAUAUUAGCCCAGAAACUUAGGAUACCCAAGAUAUAAGAUACAAUUUGCUAAACGCAUGAAAUUCAAGAAGAAUGAAGACCGAAGUGUGGACACUUUGCCCCUUCUUAGAAAUGGGAACAAAACACCCAUGGAAGGAGUUACAGAGACAAAAUUUGGAGCUGUGACGAAAGGAUGGAUCAUCUAGUGAUUGUCAUAUGCAGGGAUCCAUCCCAUAAUCAGCUUCCAAACGCUGACACCAUUGCAUACACUAGCAAGAUUUUGUUGAAAGGACCCAGAUAUAGCUGUCUCUUGUGAGACUAUGCCGGCGCCUAGCAAACACAGAAGUGGAUGCUCACAGUCAGCUAUUGAAUGGACCACAGGGCCCCCAAUGGAGGACCUAGAGAAAUUACCCAAGGAGCUAAAGGGAACUGCAACCCUAUAGGUGGAACAACAAUAUGAACUAACCAGUACUCCGGAGCUCUUGUCUCUAGCUGCAUAUGUAUCAAAAGAUGGCCUAGUUGGCCAUCACUGGAAAGAGAGGCCCAUUGGACUUGCAAACUUUAUAUGCCCCAGUACAGGGGAACCCCAGGGCCAAAAAGGGGGAGUGGGUGGGUAUGGGGGACUUUUGGGAUAGCAUUGAAAAUGUAAAUGAGGAAAGUACCUAAUAAAAAAUUAAUU
Molecule: long non-coding RNA, 2947 nt
Organism: Mus musculus (house mouse)
Lineage: Eukaryota; Metazoa; Chordata; Mammalia; Rodentia; Muridae
Product: predicted gene 14762
Exons: 2
Source: RefSeq, marked validated